AGCGAACGCUGGCGGCAGGCCUAACACAUGCAAGUCGAGCGGGCAUCCUUUUGGUGUCUGCGGCAGCCGGGUGAGUAACGCGUGCGAACGUGCCCUUCGUCUCGGACUAACUCUUGGUAACUUGAGCUAAUACCGGAUACGUGCGAGAGCAGCAUGGUUGAUCUGCCGAAGGAGCGGCGCGCGUCUGAUUAACUAGUUGGUGAGGUUAUGGCUCACAAAGGCGACGAUCAGAAGCUGGUAUGCGAGGACGAUCAGGAACACUGGGAGUGAGACACGGCGCAAACUCCUACGGGAGGGAGCAGUGGGGAAUAAGGGACAAUGGGGGCAACACGGAGCCAGCCAUGUCGCGUGAGUGAUGAGGGGGUUAGGAAUAGAAGGAUCUUUUCACCGGGACGAUAAUGACGGUACCGGAGGAAUAAGACCCGGCAAACUUCGU
RNAcentral lists this ribosomal RNA (436 nucleotides) under uncultured bacterium. Its description in RNAcentral is "partial 16S ribosomal RNA". It matches the Rfam family "Bacterial small subunit ribosomal RNA", at positions 29 to 506 of the family's 1533-position model. The record is from RNAcentral.